GGUGAACGCUGGCGGCGUGCCUAAUACAUGCAAGUCGAGCGAACGGACGAGAAGCUUGCUUCUCUGAUGUUAGCGGCGGACGGGUGAGUAACACGUGGAUAACCUACCUAUAAGACUGGGAUAACUUCGGGAAACCGGAGCUAAUACCGGAUGAUAUUUUGAACCGCAUGGUUCAAAAGUGAAAGACGGUCUUGCUGUCACUUAUAGAUGGAUCCGCGCUGCAUUAGCUAGUUGGUAAGGUAACGGCUUACCAAGGCAACGAUGCAUAGCCGACCUGAGAGGGUGAUCGGCCACACCGGAACUGAGACACGGUCCAGACUCCUACGGGAGGCAGCAGUAGGGAAUCUUCCGCAAUGGGCGAAAGCCUGACGGAGCAACGCCGCGUGAGUGAUGAAGGUCUUCGGAUCGUAAAACUCUGUUAUUAGGGAAGAACAUAUGUGUAAGUAACUGUGCACAUCUUGACGGUACCUAAUCAGAAAGCCACGGCUAACUACGUG
Molecule: ribosomal RNA, 497 nt
Filed under: uncultured bacterium
Lineage: Bacteria
Description: partial 16S ribosomal RNA
Rfam family: Bacterial small subunit ribosomal RNA
Source: RNAcentral